GGCUCACAGAGCCAGAAAAGGAGAUGAAAUCCCUUUAAUGGUUCAUUGUCAUCAUCUUCAUCCAGCGUCCUUCAGAAGUAUAGAGGGUUGUCUGCCAACGCUAACUGGCCAGCUCUGACAGGAGGUGCGUGGCCCAGGAGGAGCCAUCAGGCCAGUUCUCUGGGAUACUGCUGUGUCUCCAGCUCUGCAGUUUGCUCUGCAUCACUCAGCGGCAGACGGAGAGGCAGACACGAGCCCCUUGUGAGCCCUCCUCCUUACCGUCAUCCCACAAUGCUCUGAAAUAAGGAGGCAAAUGGCUGAGGUCCCCUCAGUUGUAGAUGUGAUUGAGUUCUAUCUACCAGAAGCAUAUGCCUCCUGGAAGCCCGGUUCUAACACCUCCCACAAAAUCCUUCAAGCGCUUUUUUCUGUUCCAAUGUUUGCUUAUGGGGGACCCAGUGAAGUGCUUCAGAGCCCUAGAGAUAUGCUGAGUCAUAUGAGGGGUCAGCAAACUUUUCCUGUAAAGGGUCAGAUAAUAAACAUUUUAAGCUUUGUAGACUGUAUAAAGUCUCUGUUUCUUCUCCCCCUCCUCCUCCUCUUUCUCCUUCAGCUUCUUUCCUUUAAAUAUGUACAAAACCUUUCUUCUUUUCCAAAAUCUGUCUAUAUUUGA
Molecule: long non-coding RNA, 646 nt
Filed under: Pan paniscus (pygmy chimpanzee)
Lineage: Eukaryota; Metazoa; Chordata; Mammalia; Primates; Hominidae
Description: lncRNA (ENSPPAG00000044331.1)
Source: RNAcentral